RNAcentral lists this ribosomal RNA (501 nucleotides) under uncultured bacterium. RNAcentral's name for it is "partial 16S ribosomal RNA". It matches the Rfam family "Bacterial small subunit ribosomal RNA", at positions 356 to 841 of the family's 1533-position model. The record is from RNAcentral.
UGGGAAUUUUGGACAAUGGGCGAAAGCCUGAUCCAGCAAUGCCGCGUGUGUGAAGAAGGCCUUCGGGUUGUAAAGCACUUUUUGUCCGGAAAGAAAUCCUUGGCUCUAAUACAGUCGGGGGAUGACGGUACCGGAAGAAUAAGCACCGGCUAACUACGUGCCAGCAGCCGCGGUAAUACGUAGGGUGCAAGCGUUAAUCGGAAUUACUGGGCGUAAAAGCGUGCGCAGGCGGUUUGCUAAGACCGAUGUGAAAUCCCCGGGCUCAACCUGGGAACUGCAUUGGUGACUGGCAGGCUAGAGUAUGGCAGAGGGGGGUAGAAAUUCCACGUNUAGCAGUGAAAUGCGUAGAGAUGUGGAGGAAUACCGAUGGCGAAGGCAGCCCCCUGGGCCAAAUACUGACGCUCAUGCACGAAAAGCGUGGGGGAGCAAAACAGGAUUAGAUACCCUGGUAGUCCACGCCCUAAAACGAUGUCAACUAGUUGUUGGGGAUUCAUUUUCCUU